This 672-nucleotide long non-coding RNA is filed under the name Octopus vulgaris (common octopus). The record is from RNAcentral. Lineage: Eukaryota; Metazoa; Mollusca; Cephalopoda; Octopoda; Octopodidae.
CUUGGGUGCUACCCAACCGCAUUUGCAGCUACGAGUUUAUUUUCUUCGCCGCUAAUUCCACUUAUGUCCCAGGAAACUCAUACACUGUCAACAGUCUCGUGAGCAGAACGUGUUAGUAGAGCCAUGUUUUGAAGUUUUCUGGAAGCUUUGAUCUUUCAGCCCUCCUCAGCCACUCUUCUGUCUGUUUGUCAGUAUAGACGACAUUGCUUCUCUCAGUAAGUGAAUUAUCAAACUACUUUGCAAGGCAUUUCAUAGGAUUUUCCUCUAUCAACGGAAUGGCUUCUCCGUGUCGUGUGUCAUUUUAACAUGUCUCGUCUGUGCAUUUGUAGGAAACUUUCGACUUUUCAGUCGCUGAUCUAGGCUACUCUUCUGCAAUUUGUUUAUUCCAGUUCUGUUCCUCCAGUCUAUAGAAACAAUCCUGUAUUAUACCUGUUUUUCUUUUAUUUAUUUUAGUCAUUUCACUGUGGACAAGCUGGGGCACCGCCUUCAACGGAAAAGACUUAUAGUAGAAGAGUCUCACCCAAGGUGCCAUGCAGUGUGACUAAACCCAAGACCACAUAGUUGAGGAUUAUCUUAACCACACAGCCAAACCUGUGCCUGGUACUUAAUUUAUCGUCCCCGAAAGAAUGAAUGGCAAACUCGACCUCGGCAGCAUUUGAACUCAGAACGCAA